GACGUUAAAGGUUAAGACGCGAGGAGUUUAAGAGGAAAGAAAGCUGGCGCUUGCCUUCUUCCAAGGACGAUUCCACGGCCUCGAGCUCUGCGCACUUGUCCUGGUACAGCUUGUUUUCCCGUGCAAACUCUCUCUGGACUGACUCCACUUCGUUUUGCAGCCUGCUUAGCUUCCUAAGAGACAUCACCAGCACGCGACGAAACAAAAACUUAGAGGUCUUUACUCCACCGAGGAGGAAGAAGAAAAGGAAGAGACUUGGGAUCCGAC
Molecule: long non-coding RNA, 267 nt
Filed under: Selaginella moellendorffii
Lineage: Eukaryota; Viridiplantae; Streptophyta; Lycopodiopsida; Selaginellales; Selaginellaceae
Description: long non-coding RNA (SMOE_LNC001214)
Source: RNAcentral